UCAUAUGCUUGUCUCAAAGAUUAAGCCAUGCAUGUCUCAGUACAAGCCAAAUUAAGGUGAAACCGCGAAAGGCUCAUUAAAUCAGUUAUGGUUCCUUAGAUCGUACCCACAAUUACUUGGAUAACUGUGGUAAUUCUAGAGCUAAUACAUGCAAACAGAGCUCCGACCGGAAACGGGAGGAGUGCUUUUAUUAGAUCAAGACCAAUCGGUGGCGGGCUUGCUCGUCAUCGUACAACUUGGUGACUCUGAAUAAC
Molecule: ribosomal RNA, 254 nt
Filed under: Telaugia cf. corpulenta ARC1369
Lineage: Eukaryota; Metazoa; Arthropoda; Insecta; Coleoptera; Curculionidae
Description: partial 18S ribosomal RNA
Rfam family: Eukaryotic small subunit ribosomal RNA
Source: RNAcentral